Non-coding RNA from Trametes elegans, 96 nucleotides. NCBI's taxonomy places the organism in Eukaryota, Fungi, Basidiomycota, Agaricomycetes, Polyporales, Polyporaceae. The record is from the annotation of a GenBank genome assembly.
UGCCCCAUGGCUGAGUUGGUUACAGCGUCCGACUGUUAUCUAUUGCUCGCAAUGUUGUUCAUCGGAAGGUCGUGAGUUCGAGCCUCACUGGGGCAG